UUGAAGUUUUCCGUCAUUGAAGAACAAUGGUUGCAAAAAUAAUCUUUCCAGUCUCUUUUUGCAAAUUAUACUGGGGUAUUUGGUCUGGAUUUUGUCUAAGGGAAGGAGAUAUAUAAUAAUUUGGCCCUAAAUAUCCUCUAGCAUGAUUGGUGGCUUCGGUAAAAUCAUUAAAACCUUUAAAUAGAGGGGCUUUAAAACCUUGUAUGGAGUCUAAUACUUCUAACCAUGUUUGGAAGAUUCCGUUAGUUUUUCCAUGAAUGACUACAUAGUAUUUAAAACGAGGCCUACUUUUUUCUGCCAUGUAAUGGCAUAAAGAGUUCAUAGAUGCCAUAAAAUGAUUACGGUUUUGUCUAUUAUAAGAGAUCCAGAGGUUAUCUGCUAAACACCUUUGAGGUCUGUCUAAAACGUAGUCUGGUCUUACUCUAAAGGAUAUGCUGCUAUCAGGGUAUGCAACAACAACAACAACAAACCCAGUGUAUUCCCACUUAGUGGGGUCUGGGGGGGGUAAGAUGUACGCAGUCCAUACCUCUACCUCUGAUGAAGUAGAAAGGCUGUUUCCGAAAGACCCCCGGCUCAAGUCACGAGAUAUCACACAAACACAUAGGACAGCACAGCAGCAGAUGACAUAACAUAGAUACGGCACCCAUAAGGAAUAUAAAACAGAGUAAAGCAAGAAUGCAGGAAUAUAAAGCAGAGGAAAGCACCCAGAUUCGUAAUAAACAUGGAACACGGAACACGAAACACUGAAUACAGAAUCAUAACAGGAAUACACCCCCACCAAUUAAUUCCCUACACUAGCGACCCGAACUGGCCCUAAUCCUCUGCCGUAAUUCGCAUCUUCCAGACCUUCCUAUCUAGGGUCAUGUCCUCGGUGAGCUGUAACUGUUCCAUGUCCCGCCUAAUCACCUCACCCCAGUACUUCUUCGGUCUACCCCUACCCCGUCUAAAACCAUCCAACGCUAGCCUCUCACACCUACGGACCGGGGCAUCCAUGCCCCUCCUCUUCACGUGUCCGAACCAUCUCAAUCGUGCUUCCCGCAUCUUACACUCCACUGAAGUCACACCAACCUUCUCCCGGAUAGUCUCAUUCCGAACUCUAUCCCCUCGAGUCAGUCCACACAUCCAGCGCAACAUCCGCAUUUCUGCCACCUUCAUUCUUUGGGUGUGGGAGUUCUU
RNAcentral lists this long non-coding RNA (1176 nucleotides) under Capsicum annuum. RNAcentral's name for it is "long non-coding RNA (CANN_LNC022329)". Lineage: Eukaryota; Viridiplantae; Streptophyta; Magnoliopsida; Solanales; Solanaceae. The record is from RNAcentral.